AACGCACAUUGCGCCCUCCGGUAUUCCGGAGGGCAUGCCUGUUCGAGCGUCAUUUCAACCCUCAAGCAUUGCUUGGUGUUGGGGCACUGCCUGUAAAAGGGCAGGCCCUGAAAUUCAGCGGCGAGCUCGCCAGGACCCCGAGCGCAGUAGUUAAACCCUCGCUUUGGAAGGCCCUGGCGGUGCCCUGCCGUUAAACCCCCCAACUUCUGAAAAUUUGACCUCGGAUCAGGUAGGAAUACCCGCUGAACUUAA
RNAcentral lists this unclassified non-coding RNA (252 nucleotides) under uncultured fungus. RNAcentral describes it as "partial contains 5.8S ribosomal RNA, internal transcribed spacer 2, and large subunit ribosomal RNA". The stretch from base 1 to 52 matches the Rfam family "5.8S ribosomal RNA", at positions 103 to 154 of the family's 154-position model. The record is from RNAcentral. Lineage: Eukaryota; Fungi.